UUGCCCUACUCGCCGGCGCCUCUCCUCACUGCCGCCCGACGCCUUCCUCUUCCAUGCCCUAGCGCCGGUGCCGCCACCACAGUCGACGCCGAGGACUUCUUCUCUUCUCCUCUCCCUGCUCUAAUCGGCGCCGCAACAUCCGCCGCCGAGGCCUUAAUUCCUCUGCUGCCGAAGCCCUAGCCGCCGGCGACGCACCGAGCUUCUUUCUUCCUCUCCUCCACUGUGUUUCUGCUGACCUUGGAGGCGCCAUCUUCCCGGAGAGCUGUGCCCUAGCCUUUGCACAGUGCCACUGCCGCGGCAUCUUCUGCCGUAGUUUCCGGCCGAUUUCCCCACUCACUGGAGUAGGCUACGGUUUCCAAUCAGUGACACUCUUCACCAGAGAGUAACCUGCCAAUGUGGUUAGGAGUAUUUGAGUGGAGAUUUUGACCCCCACCUUGCUGCAAUCACUGGAUCCGGCAGUAACUUUAGCCACAAACCUUGAUCCAGCAGUAUUAGGCGACCCUUUGAUUUACAGCAGCAAUUAAUCUUUGCUAGCAGUAGAGUUUUGUUUUCCGGCAGCAGCUUGGUCUAGCAGCGGUUGAUUUGAGGACUUUGACGCGAGACGAGUAUCUCGGAGUCAGAUCGGACCUUUCUAUUUUCGGAGG
This is a long non-coding RNA of Zingiber officinale, 644 nucleotides long. RefSeq lists it as uncharacterized. The transcript has 3 exons. Lineage: Eukaryota; Viridiplantae; Streptophyta; Magnoliopsida; Zingiberales; Zingiberaceae. The record is from RefSeq and is a predicted model, not a curated record.